CUACGGGUGGCUGCAGUCAAGAAUAUUCCGCAAUGGACGAAAGUCUGACGGAGCGACGCCGCGUGCAGGAAGACGCCCCUCGGGGUGUAAACUGCUUUUAUAUGGGAAGAAUUAGUGACGGUACCAUAUGAAUAAGAGGUUGCUAACUCUGUGCCAGCAGCAGCGGUAAUACAGAGACCUCAAACGUUGUCCGGAUUCAUUGGGCGUAAAGCGUCCGCAGGUGGUUUUGUAAGUUAAUUGUCAAAUCUCGAGGCUUAACUUCGAGACUGCGAUUAAUACUGCAAAACUAGAGACUGGAAGAGGCACACGGAACUGUAGGUGUAGUAGUAAAAUGCGUUGAUAUCUACAGGAACACCAAAGGCGAAGGCAGUGUGCUAGGACAGUUCUGACACUCAUGGACGAAAGCGUGGGUAGCGAAUGGGAUUAGAUACCCCAGUAGUC
This 441-nucleotide ribosomal RNA is filed under the name uncultured bacterium. Its description in RNAcentral is "partial 16S ribosomal RNA". It matches the Rfam family "Bacterial small subunit ribosomal RNA", at positions 339 to 795 of the family's 1533-position model. The record is from RNAcentral.